This 20-nucleotide microRNA is filed under the name Corchorus olitorius. RNAcentral's name for it is "aqc-miR5". The record is from RNAcentral. Lineage: Eukaryota; Viridiplantae; Streptophyta; Magnoliopsida; Malvales; Malvaceae. RNAcentral also lists the same sequence under 1 other name.
UGCACUUGCACCUGCACCUC